CUGCCAACAUGGCGGCGCCCGUGGUGACUGUCUGGGCCGUGUUCGUCUAAGGUGGGAACCGAGGCGUAAGGAGCCGCAGGCCAGAGCCUAGGAGCAGUUAAACCCCUGAGCCGGGCUCAUAGGGGCAAGAUACGAGGCCUGAUCUCCCCUCCCGGAUUGGUAGAUUUCGACUUGCCGGGAGCCGGAAGGGCCUUCCCUCCUUUUGAAGAAUGGCUCCUUCUUGGCAGAGGCUGAGUUUAUAUGCCUCUCUUCUGAAAAGGCAGCUAAAUGAUGGUCCAGAUGUCAUCAAAUGGGGAAGGAGAGUGAUUCCAGGAUGUUCCAGAGGUAUUUACAGUGCCACGGGAAAGUGGACCAAGGAGUAUACGCUGCAGACAAGAAAGGAUGUGGAGAAAUGGUGGCAUCAACGAAUAAAAGAACAGUCCUCCAAAAUUUCAGAAGCUGAUAAAUCAAAGCCCAAGUUUUACGUGCUUUCCAUGUUCCCUUAUCCUUCCGGCAAGCUGCACAUGGGCCACGUGCGUGUGUACACCAUCAGCGACACCAUUGCACGCUUCCAGAAGAUGAGAGGGAUGCAGGUUAUCAAUCCCAUGGGAUGGGAUGCAUUUGGAUUGCCUGCCGAAAAUGCUGCGAUCAAGAGGAAUCUACAUCCAGAAAGUUGGACACAGAGUAAUAUCAGACACAUGAGGAAACAACUUGAUCGACUGGGCCUGUGUUUCAGCUGGGAUAGGGAAAUAACCACGUGUUUACCAGAUUACUACAAAUGGACUCAGUAUCUCUUUAUUAAACUCUAUGAAGCUGGACUGGCCUAUCAAAAAGAGGCCUUGGUUAACUGGGACCCAGUGGAUCAAACAGUGCUUGCCAAUGAGCAGGUGGAUGAACGUGGCUGUUCGUGGCGUUCUGGAGCAAAGGUGGAACAGAAGUACCUCAGACAGUGGUUUAUUAAGACAACUGCUUAUGCAAAGCCCAUGCAGGACGCGCUGGCAGACCUUCCGGAAUGGUAUGGAAUAAAAGGCAUGCAGGCCCACUGGAUCGGGGACUGUGUGGGCUGCCAUUUGGACUUCACAUUAAAGGUUGAUGGGCAAGUCACAGGAGAAAAGCUGAGCGCCUACACGGCCACCCCCGAGGCCAUUUACGGCACCUCCCACGUGACCAUCUCUCCCAGCCACAGACUCUUACAUGGGCACAGCUCUCUGAAGGAAGCCUUUCGGAAGUCUCUCAUCCCUGGCAAAGAUUGCCUCACGCCCGUGACGGCUGUGAACAUGCUCACCCAGCAGGAAGUCCCUGUUGUCAUCUUGGCCAAAGCUGACUUUGAGGGCUCUCUGGAUGCAAAAAUAGGAAUUCCCAGCACCAGCUUAGAGGACACUGUCUUAGCCCAAACCCUGGGCCUGUCGUACUCUGAAGUCAUUGAAACCAUGCCAGAUGGCACAGAGAGACUGAGAAGCUCUGCGGAGUUCACAGGUAUGAACCGGCCGGAUGCAUUUCUAGCGCUGACUCAGAAAGCCCGGAGGAAGAGAGUGGGCGGAGAGGUGACCAGUGUUAAACUGAAGGACUGGCUGAUCUCUAGGCAGCGGUACUGGGGCACACCCAUCCCCAUGGUCCACUGCCCGGCCUGCGGUCCUGUGCCUGUGCCUCUGGAGGACUUGCCUGUGACCUUGCCCAGCAUCACCUCUUUCACUGGCAAGGGAGGCUCCCCACUGGCCUCGGCUUCGGAGUGGGUGAACUGCUCCUGCCCUAGGUGCAAGGGAGCAGCCACGAGAGAGACAGACACGAUGGAUACCUUUGUUGAUUCUGCUUGGUACUACUUCAGAUAUACCGACCCUCAGAAUACUCAGAGCCCUUUCAGCACAGCGUUGGCAGAUUACUGGAUGCCUGUGGAUUUGUACAUUGGAGGGAAAGAACAUGCUGUCAUGCACUUGUUCUAUGCAAGAUUCUUUAGUCAUUUUUGCCAUGAUCAAAAAAUGGUCAAACACAGAGAGCCUUUUCAUAAACUGCUGGCCCAAGGCCUUGUCAAGGGGCAGACAUUCCGCCUACCAUCUGGACAGUAUCUACAGCGAGAGGAAGUAGAUCUCACAGGUUCUGUUCCUGUUCAUGCAAACACGAGGGAGAAGUUGGAGGUGACUUGGGAGAAGAUGAGCAAAUCCAAGCACAAUGGCGUGGACCCCGAGGACGUCGUGGAGCAGUACGGCAUUGACACCAUCCGGCUCUACAUCCUUUUCGCCGCCCCUUCUGAGAAGGAUAUCUUGUGGGAUGUAAAGACCGACGCUCUCCCUGGGGUGCUGAGAUGGCAGCAGCGUCUCUGGUCCUUGGCAACUCGAUUUAUCGAGGCCAGGGUUUCUGGGAAGGUUCCCAGGCCUCAGCUGUUGAGUAACGAGGAGAAAGCCGAGGGCAGGAAGCUGUGGGAGUACAAGAACUCCAUCAUCUCUCAGGUGACUGCCCAUUUCACAGAGGACUUCUCCCUGAAUUCUGCGAUUUCUCAACUGAUGGGACUCAGCAAUGCCCUCUUGCAAGCUUCUCAGAGAGUUGUUCUCCACAGCCCUGAGUUUGAGGAUGCUCUCUGCGCCCUGAUGGUGAUGGCUGCUCCCAUGGCCCCUCUCAUAACCUCGGAGCUCUGGGCAGGCCUGGCGCUGGUGCCGAGGAAGCUGUGUACUCACUACGCCUGGGACACCAGUGUGUUGCUUCAAGCCUGGCCAGCUGUGGACCCGCAGUUCCUCCAGCAGCCCGAUGUCGUACAGAUGGCAGUUCUGAUCAACAACAAAGCCUGCGGCAAAAUCCCUGUGCCCCAACAAGUUGCCCAGGACCAGGACAAAGUCCACGAACUGGUUCUCCAAAGUGAACUGGGUGUCAGGCUCUUACAGGGGCGAAGCAUCAAGAAGGCCUUCCUCUCCCCCCGAACCGCCCUCAUCAACUUCCUGGUGCAGGAGUGACUGCAGGGAUGCUGCGGCUACCGCGAGGGCUUGAGGCACCUCCUCCAGCUUAACCGAGAUGAAUUUGGUAACAACCAAAACACAAUGAAGUAGAGCUGGGAAAGACUAGGACCAGAAGGGAAGGCAGGGGCCGGAACUCUGGAGCAAAUAUUUAAGACGUUCCUAGAGUUGACUUGAGUGUACACAAUCCAAUUCCAUGUACCAACAAACGUGGAUUAAAUAUAAGUGAACGGAUGAGGAUAUUUGGUACAAGGAGGUGAGUGUUUUUGCUUGAUUGUCUUGUUUAUUACAGAAGCGAGGUAAGUGGUCUUGAGUCUGUCAACAAGAUGAGUGUAAGGAAGCCCUUUGUCUGCACAUAAUCAGGCCAGAGCAAUGGUGAGUCCAGCCUCAAGGCCACUGGACUAACCAGCAUGUCUUUGCAGACCUUUUUCUCCAAGAGGAUAAAACUUUUAAAAACAAGAGCUCAUUGGUACUACUGAGAUGGUUGGUGUAAUGGAAAAAUUGAACAGAAAAAUCUGAUCCCUGGGGUGGGAAAUGAUCUCAGUCCUUUAUUAACUGCCUUGAUUAGGUCAAAAACUGGACUCAACAAGUUCACUUGCAUUAUGUCAUUUAAUUUCCACUAAAACCCUAGAGGGAAGGAAUUAUUCUCUCACAAAUAUGAAGAUACCCAGGUUCUGAGGUUCAGUAAUUUGCUCAGUUUCCACAGCUAAGUAGAAGAACCGAAUCCAAACCCAGGUCCUCUGGCCUCCAAAUCCCCUUAUGCCAUCCACUGUGUCUACCAGUCCCCUCACCUAAUUGCCCAUCUUGCUUGAAGUCAGGAAAAUUGAGAUGUUGGCUGGAAGCUUGGGGCUUACUAGGGAAGCCUCGUGACUGAAUGGAGUGGCCGUUAUUCUUGUUGCCUUUGCUGCCUUGGCUUAGGGUUUACUGAUUGAUGGCCUGAGGCUGCUGGGGGCAGAUGGCCCAGUUGUGUGAGCUAGAGGUUUGAGGCCACAUAAAGAAGUCCACCAGAAAUCCUUGCAAGCCACUCAUGGCCCACAGGCUUCUUGGCAGGCCAAUGCUCAGACAAGCUGGCCUCCAAACCAAAAGCUGAGGAUCCGAAGUUGGCUUUGGUUUUCAUUUCCAGGUGGUUUGAUUCCUGAACUGAGCCCAAGUCAGGGUUAUGAGGCCACUAGUGCACACGGACAUGCAGCAACAUGCCACUGGGCUGAUGACAUUUCUGCUGGGCCACAGUUGGCCAUUACUCAGGCCAAAGAGGGCGUGGUUCCUGCACCAGCUGCCCUGGCCUCCACCACCAGCUGCCCUCUUGGUGUUUCUCCCCCUAGGAGGGAAGGGAGGGAGGCACACAAGGCUACAGGGUCAUUCUGUGCACCAGGAACCGUGCAAGGGGUUUGCUGGUGCUCUUAAAUCCUCACAUCAGUGCUACAAAGUGGGAAUUAUGACCCACAUCCUAUAAAGAAGGAAACUGAAGCCUAGAAAAGUAUAGCAGAUUACCUACAUCCUGCCACUGAUAACUGCUCGAACCAGAAUUCAGCCCCAGUUCUGCCUUUCUGUUCACAGCUCAUGCUUUCUCUGCAGCCCCAGCCUGCCUUCCGGCAGGGAAGAAGUAAGAUGUCUUGGGAGGAAAUACAGCUCUUGUUCUUUCUGUCCCGGGAAUUCUGAACUGGAGCUCUGGCAUGUAUGUGGCCCCGCAGACUGGAGCCCCACACUCGUGAUUCACCUCCCCGCAGACCCUCCUUAACGAAGGGGGCUGGGCUUUUGUACCCUGAAUCCGUCCAUCACUGGCUGUGGGCCAACACCGGGUGGAGGGGGAUAGUUAGUAAUUUCCUGGGCAUCUUGGGAUGAAGGGACUCCCACUGGCUCAGGGAAGGUUUCCAAAGAGGAACACAGCUGAGCCGUCGGCAGCCAGCAUGCAUGGGAGCUGGGAACAGGCACCCCUGCUUGUGAGGAGGACCCGGGUGGAGCACCCAAGGCGACCACCACAAGGAGAGAAGGUGAGAGUCCUGAGAAGCAGUCCUGAGAAGCCUGAGAAACAGCGAGUCUGUGGGUGAGGAAACGCUCUGGACAGACGCAGAGUCACAAGAGAUGUGGAUGAACAUAGGAUGGAGUGAGGACAAGCUGAGCUGCCUUGGGCCUGCCUUGAUGCCCUGGGCUGGGUGGCUCUGGGCAGUGCUGCUGCAUUCAAGGCAGUGGGUGAGACCAAACCGGAAGGCGUCAUUCCCCCUUUUGCAGAUGACAAAACCAUGGCUCACACAGGCUGUGACUUGCUUAAGGUCCUACAGUAAGUGAUGGAGUAUCUUGACCCCCAUUCUGUGCUCAUUCCACUCAGGGGCCCCUGCCCCUACCCUGCAGGAAAAGCCUGGUGGUACCGCCAGGCAAAACAUAGCUCAGGAGGUAAAUAUUCUUAAUUGUGGAAACCAUCAGGGUAGACAAAAUGAGUAGAGUCUGUACUCCCGUUUCUUCCUGUGAGAAGAGCAAGCCGAAAACAUCUGUUUCAUGGGCUGAGUCCCUGUCUGAAGCUCAGAGGGUGGGCGGCCAAAGGCUCUCAUCCAAGCUGAUGAGUCUGGAGAUCGGAAUCUGGGGUGACCAACAAUGAGCAAGGAGGAAUCCCCCCAGGGUGGGUGGGCAGGCAGUGCUGGCAGGGAGGGGGCAGCCUGGAACGGCUGGGGAAGGGCCAGUCCUGUGGGCAGCAGCCUCGGAUCCAAGGGUGGGGCCAACAGCCGUCCAGAACAGUUGACCUCACUCCAGGCCUUCAUUGCAUCUGCCCACGUGAGGGAGCGGAUGCAGGGAUAACGAGGCCCUGCGGGGGUGGGGAGCCAGGCCUGCUGGAGUCACGCGCCUGGAACCCAACAGUCAUGACUCACCUCCAUGCGCCUCAAGCCCUGAACUUGAAUUCCAGUUCUUGUCUGGCUUCUGGAAGAGCAGGCCUGUGCCAGACACCCAGUGAUGCCUGAGAUGCCCCAAUAUCAGCAGCAAUAAUAACAUUUACCACUUACCGAGGACUAGUUAUGUGCCAGGCCCUGUUGUAAGAGCCUUACCACAGAAGGGGCCCAGUUCAAGACCACAUGAGAGGCUGGCAGAGCCGUGAUUCCGACCUACUCCACCACAUUGCUUCCCAAAGGCCUUGAUGCAAACCAGCCCUGAACCUCCUGGGUUUUCCAAGACAGCCCUAAUUUCUGGCUCUCAGAGUACCCUAGAACCUGCCAAGCCCACACUUCCUGAUCUGAGGACACCUGGGUGAGCACCUCCCUGGUGCCCAGGGAGAGGUCUGGGCUUUCUCUCUGAGCCUGGGACUGACCACUCCCAGGGAGCCCUCACCUUUGAGCCCCAUCAGUGAGACCUAGAAGUCAGGGGGUCCUCUUUGCUCUACUCCACAUACUGCGAGGAAAAUCCCAUGGAAGGCGAGACCGGGCCUGGGCCUGUGGGCACAGCGAGAGCUGCCUGGCCUCACAGCAGCCGGGCCGGUGUCUCCCCCAGAACAUCCUUUCCUCUGCCCACAGAAGAACCUCAUCUGGGAUUACUUAGGGGUGGUUCGCCCCAGCCCCCACUAAAGGUGGACUCGCCUGCCACACCUGCUGCAGCUGCACCCUCAUGGGCUGCCUCAGGACCAGGAGAAGAACCAGGCCUGGGCAGGGAUCCCCUUCCUCAGACACUGUGAGGUGAGGGGCGAGUGUCCAGUGGGUAUAGUGGACACGGGUCAACUGGGGAGGCGGGGCCACCCAAAAGGUACUAUUAUUCACUGAACCUGGAAUGUCAUUCAUCAGGGAAAAGGCAGCUCCCUUCCAGUAGAAACAGGGACAGGGUGGGCCAGUGGGGCUUUGCGAGGUGGGUUCCCCAGGGGGCUCGCUGUCAGUGAGCAGGACACAAGGCAGCCACCACGUGGAAAUAGGCUGAAAAGCCAGAUGUCACCAGGUAUCUCCAUGGUUAGUUGUCAACCUGUUAGUUAGCAGAUAACAUGUUAGCUUUCUAGUAAUAUCUUAACUGAUUUUUAUUAUGGCCUGAAUGUUUGUAGCCCCCUAAAAUUCAUAGGUUGAAAUUGUACUUCCAAAUGUAAUGAUACUAGCAGGUGGGGCUUUGGAGGUAACUAGGUGAGGUCAUGAGGGUGCAGCCCUCGUGGGUGGGAUUAGUGUCCUCAUGAGAGUCACAAGAGAGCUUGCUUCCUCUCUGCGUUCUGCCACGUGAGGACACAAGAAGUCAGCAGUCUGCAACCCGGAAGAGGGUUCUCACCAGAACUCGACCAAACUGGCACCCUGAUCUCAGACUUCAGCCUCCAGAGCUACGUGCUGUGAGGAGGUUAACAAGCAGGGCCCCACUUUACGGAUGGGCAGACUGAGGCUUGGAGCUGUCGGGGAACCUGCCUGAGGUUGCCAGCUGGUGAGUGUCUGGAGGUGGGUGCUGCUGGUUUCCGUUUCAUGAUCUGGGUGCUGAUGGCAGAGUUUAUGAGGAUUUGUUGAGCUGUACGCUUAAUGUGUAUGAGUUUUUGGAAUCUCUAUUUCCUCAAAUGUUCAUUUUUUUAAAGAAGUCUAUAUAAGCUACAAGGAUAUAUUGUACAACACAGGGAAUGCAGCCAAUAUUUUAUAAUAACUAUAUAUGGAGUAUGACCUUUAAAAAUUGUGAAUCACUGUAUUGUACACCUAUGACUUAUAAAAUAUUGUACAUCAACUAUACUUCAAGAAAAAUAAAAUCUAUAACACCAAGUGCUAAAAGCAAAAAAAGCCAGUCAUGACCUACCCAGCAGGACCCUGUGCCAUCCUCCCACAGCUCAGAGGUUCCACCGCCCGCCCUGCAGGAAUGGUGCCCACCAGGAUGCACGAGGUCAUGACCUCUGGUACACAGUGCUGAUCUUUCAGUGCAAAGAGCUGGAGGCCUCUCCCCACGCACUCUACCUAUGCCCCUCCUCCCCGCAGGAGCUCCGGGACAGAUUCCAGGUGAGGACAGAACACCAGGUCACCCGCGGGGUUGAGCUCCCCCGCAUCUGUUACUGCAGCCCCACAAGCUGCCAUAAACCUCUGAUCAGCCGUGCUUUGCUCUGUGCUGUGCUAAGCAAAGAGUACCUGGAAAUGAAUAAGAUGCCGUCUCCACAUGAUGGGUCCACUCCCUCCCGCCGCUGCCUCUCCACACUCCUCCGAGGUCACUCUGCUCCAGAAACACUGGCUUCUUUGCUGUUCCCAGGGCACACUGGGCACACUCCUGCCUCAACAUCUCAGACUUGGAGUCCCUCUACCAAGAAAGCCCCUCCCCAGAUCGCUCCUUCUCUCACCUCCUGCUGGUCUCUGUGCUCGUAAGGUCUUCCCUGACCAUCCUAUACCAAAUACCACCCCACCCCUAGCAUCCCCUACCCCCUAGCAAAUAAUGACACAGUUUGCAUAUUUAUCUUAUCAUUUGUCCCUCCUUCCAGAAGGUCAGCAUCGUGAGGGCAGGGACUCAUGCGGCCUUAUUUUAUUUAUUUACAGCAAUUUUAGUCUCUGUUGUGUCUCAGACCCAGAACACCAUCAGGCACACAGUAGGUGCUCAGUAAAUAUUUGCAUGAAUGAUUCUAGUCCUAAGUGGGCUCGGUGACCUUGAGCAAGUUGUUAAACCCAGCAGAGGUUUUUAUUUCCUUAAUUACAAAUUGAGGGAAUUCCCUGGCAUCCAGUGGUUAGGGCUCCGUGCUUCCACUGCAGGAGGCACGGAUUCGAUCCCUGAUCAGGGAACUAAGAUCCCACAUGCCAUAUGGCGAGGCCAAAAAAAAAAAAGUAUAACAAAAUUGACACAGUGAUGCCAGCUGGUGGGUGAGAUGGGCGUCCUGGAAGGGAAAUCUGGGGGAUAUUUUGUAAACUAGAAACUGUUGAGCAGCCCUAAGUAACAGUCUGGGGCUUUCUCUGCCAGGGGAGCAAAAGGGCAGCAACUGGAUGGUUUCCUGCUCUGUCUUUCAGUUAAGCCUUCAGUUCUGGCCUCUCUUGCCUGGGCUGCCCCAGAGUCAUUGUUAAACGUUAGUCAUGGGGCAUUAUUGGAGCACAUCAGCCUCUUGCAAAUAUUGUUUGUGUGUGUUUUAAAGUCUUGGUUGUCAAGAGCUGGGCUGACCCUAAGGACUGGAAGCCCUCAGGGGAGAGAGCUUCAAGUAAAGGCCACAGGGAGACAGUGAGAAGGCAGUGAGUUGCUGCUGGCGGAAGCGCUGUGGGUUUAUUUUUAAGGCUGGAAAGGAGAGGUGAGGGAGCAAAAUGUGAGGCAGUAAUAGGGGCCCAGCAGUCCUGGCCUGUUGCUGGAUAUUUCCCCUGAGGAAGGAAUGAAAAGGAACUAAGGUUUCUAUUUAUCAUAAGGCUGGGGCCAGAGCCCACGGGAGCCAGGCAGGGGAGAUGGGCGGGGGACAGCCAUAGACCAAAAAGAGCCUGUUGCUAUGCUGGUGGUUGUGGACGCUGGCUGUGGAUCACAAUGACCCUCUCUGGGGUGGGAGGGCAAAGCUGGGGCGAAGUGAGAGUAGCAUCGAAAUACACACUACCGAAUGUAAAAUAUUUGUCUGGUGGGAAGCAGAAGCAUAGCACAGGGUGAUCGGCUCGGUGCUUUGCGAUGAUUGAGAGGAGUGGGAUAGGGAGGAUGGGAGGGAGGCUCAAGAGGGAGGGGUUAUGGGGACAUGUGUAUGCAUAUGGCUGAUUCGAUUUGUUGUACAGCAGAAACUAACACAGUAUUGUGAAGCAAUUAUACUCCAAUAAAGAGCUAUUUUUUAAAAAAAACAUAACUAAUAAGGACCUACUGUAUAGCACAGGGAACUCUACUCAAUACUCUGUAAUGACCUAUAU
Molecule: RNA transcript, 9694 nt
Organism: Physeter macrocephalus (sperm whale)
Lineage: Eukaryota; Metazoa; Chordata; Mammalia; Artiodactyla; Physeteridae
Gene: LARS2
Gene name: leucyl-tRNA synthetase 2, mitochondrial
Exons: 24
Source: RefSeq, a predicted model, not a curated record